RNAcentral lists this microRNA precursor (108 nucleotides) under Drosophila guanche. The record is from RNAcentral. Lineage: Eukaryota; Metazoa; Arthropoda; Insecta; Diptera; Drosophilidae.
GACAUAUGUAUGUACAUAUGUAUGUAUGUACAUAUGUAUGUAUGUACAUGGACAUACAUAUGUACAUACAUACAUAUGUACAUACAUACAAAUGUACAUACAUACAUA